This 460-nucleotide ribosomal RNA is filed under the name uncultured bacterium. RNAcentral's name for it is "partial 16S ribosomal RNA". It matches the Rfam family "Bacterial small subunit ribosomal RNA", at positions 338 to 795 of the family's 1533-position model. The record is from RNAcentral.
CCUACGGGUGGCAGCAGUGAGGAAUAUUGGUCAAUGGGCGCGAGCCUGAACCAGCCAAGUAGCGUGAAGGAUGACUGCCCUACGGGCUGUAAACUUCUUUUAUAAAGGAAUACAGUGAGGCACGUGUGCCUUUUUGUAUGGACUUUAUGAAUAAGGAUCGGCUAACUCCGUGCCAGCAGCCGCGGUAAUACGGAGGAUGCGAGCGUUACCCGGAUUUAUUGGGUUUAAAGGGAGCGUAGAUGGGUUGUUAAGUCAGUUGUGAAAGUUUGCGGCUCAACCGGAAAAUUGCAAUUGAUACUGGCAAUCUUGAGUACAGUUGAGGUAGGCGGAAUUCGUGGUGUAGCGGUGAAAUGCUUAGAUAUCACGAAGAACACCGAUUGCGAAGGCAGCUUACUAAACUGCCACUGACAUUGAUGCGCGAAAGUGUGGGUAUCAAACAGGAUUAGAUACCCGAGUAGUC